AGGAUAGGGCAAGAAAAGGAGAAAGAGGAGGAGAUGAUGAUUCACCAUCUAGAGAGGGUCUGCAAUCCUGAAUCGUCCUUCAAAUGCUUGUGGGAAAUCAACUAUUUACUGAAGCCAACAGAGACUUUUGGAGGGAAGAUAUCCACCUUGUAAUGAAAAUGAUCACAUUCUACACAUCCU
Long non-coding RNA from Mastomys coucha (southern multimammate mouse), 180 nucleotides. RefSeq lists it as uncharacterized. Lineage: Eukaryota; Metazoa; Chordata; Mammalia; Rodentia; Muridae. The transcript has 2 exons. The record is from RefSeq and is a predicted model, not a curated record.